Molecule: ribosomal RNA, 574 nt
Filed under: Chiloglanis anoterus
Lineage: Eukaryota; Metazoa; Chordata; Actinopteri; Siluriformes; Mochokidae
Description: partial large subunit ribosomal RNA
Rfam family: Bacterial large subunit ribosomal RNA
Source: RNAcentral
CAUCGCCUCCUGCAAACCUCAACGUAUAGGAGGUCUUGCCUGCCCAGUGAUAAAUUAAACGGCCGCGGUAUUUUGACCGUGCGAAGGUAGCGCAAUCACUUGUCUUUUAAAUGAAGACCUGUAUGAAUGGUGGAACGAGGGCUUAACUGUCUCCCCUUUCAAGUCAAUGAAAUUGAUCUGCCCGUGCAGAAGCGGACAUGAAAAUACAAGACGAGAAGACCCUUUGGAGCUUAAGAUACACGAUCAACUAUGUCAAGAACCCUAAAAACAGCGGUUAAACUAAAUAGCAACUGAUCCCCAUCUUCAGUUGGGGCGACCACGGGAGAAAAUGAAGCUCCCAUGAGGACUGGGGCUAAACCCUAAAACCAAGAGAGACAUCUCCAAGUCACAGAAUAUCUGACCAUAAAGAUCCGGCUUUAUGCCGACCAACGGACCAAGUUACCCUAGGGAUAAGAGCGCAAUCCCCUUUCAGAGUCCAUAUCGACAAGGGGGUUUACGACCUCGAUGUUGGAUCAGGACAUCCUAAUGGUGCAGCCGCUAUUAAGGGUUCGUUUGUUCAACGAUUAAAGUCCUA